GGGCGAGUAGAUCAGCGGCAGAUCGCUUCCUUCGCAAGGAAGAGGCCCGGGGUUCAAAUCCCCGCUCGUCCA
RNAcentral lists this transfer RNA (72 nucleotides) under Halobacteriales archaeon QH_7_66_36. RNAcentral's name for it is "tRNA-Ala". It matches the Rfam family "tRNA". Rfam says of the family: Transfer RNA (tRNA) molecules are approximately 80 nucleotides in length. Their secondary structure includes four short double-helical elements and three loops (D, anti-codon, and T loops). RNAcentral also lists the same sequence under 3 other names. Lineage: Archaea; Methanobacteriati; Methanobacteriota; Halobacteria; Halobacteriales. The record is from RNAcentral.